RNAcentral lists this long non-coding RNA (833 nucleotides) under Marmota monax (woodchuck). Lineage: Eukaryota; Metazoa; Chordata; Mammalia; Rodentia; Sciuridae. The record is from RNAcentral.
GGAGGACUCAGCCCUGCUCUGCCUGAUAGCACCCACUUUGGGUACCUAUUGGAGAGGUAAUAUUCAGAGCUUGCUUUUGCUACUUUAUAGAUUUCUGUUUCCACUGGAAACAGCAGCUAUUGGAGAAAAACUGGGCAAGUGUUUCUUUUUGCAGACAGACUGGACACACAAGCCCUAUAAGCAGUAUGAGGGCUCGGGUAAAGGGAGCCAGUUUCAUUUUGUCCAAACUGGAAGGAGAGGGGUUGCUGCUGGGACCAGUAUAGCCAGAGCAGUCCCAGUUGGUAGGAGUAUGUGGUCUCAACAACGGGGAGGAGCUGGUGAUAUGCGCGACAAUGUCCUGGGAUCGAGUCUUCUCUGCCUUUUUGCCAGUGGUUUGGUGGUUGUGUCCUGGGUGGGGUUUGGUUUAUGUGCAGUGUGGUGGAAAUUAUUCUGGCUGUGGGCUUGGCCCCACAUACACUAUUUGGGCUCUGAGAGUCCCUCUGACAUGGGAAUUUCAAAGAUGAUUGCUUGGAGAACCCUGGGCAUCCCACACUAGGAGGCAGACAGUAGAAUUGCCCGAUGAGCUUGUAGGAGUUCUUGGGCCAUCUGCAUGAGAUCUUGUCCACUUUUGUCCUGUCUAGGGCUGGACUUGCCCUCUGUUGCCUGACUGUGACCUUCUGCCUAUUGCUUGGCAGAGGUCCUAGUGUGAGCUGUGUAGGUUAGUUCUGUGCUUGCCCCCCCCCCCUUAAUGUUAUUGUAUUUUUAGACCUUUAAUUAAUUUAUUAAUUUAUUUUUAUGUGAUGCUGAGGAUCUAAUCCAAUUCCUCACAAAUGCUAGGCAAGUGUCUACCGCUG